CGGGACGGGUGAGUAAUGUCUGGGAAACUGCCUGAUGGAGGGGGAUAACUACUGGAAACGGUAGCUAAUACCGCAUAACGUCGCAAGACCAAAGAGGGGGACCUUCGGGCCUCCUGCCAUCGGAUGUGCCCAGAUGGGAUUAGCUAGUAGGUGGGGUAACGGCUCACCUAGGCGACGAUCCCUAGCUGGUCUGAGAGGAUGACCAGCCACACUGGAACUGAGACACGGUCCAG
Molecule: ribosomal RNA, 233 nt
Filed under: uncultured bacterium
Lineage: Bacteria
Description: partial 16S ribosomal RNA
Rfam family: Bacterial small subunit ribosomal RNA
Source: RNAcentral